AUUGAACGCUGGCGGCAGGCCUAACACAUGCAAGUCGAACGGUAACAGGAAGCAGCUUGCUGCUUUGCUGACGAGUGGCGGACGGGUGAGUAAUGUCUGGGAAACUGCCUGAUGGAGGGGGAUAACUACUGGAAACGGUAGCUAAUACCGCAUAACGUCGCAAGACCAAAGAGGGGGACCUUCGGGCCUCUUGCCAUCGGAUGUGCCCAGAUGGGAUUAGCUAGUAGGUGGGGUAACGGCUCACCUAGGCGACGAUCCCUAGCUGGUCUGAGAGGAUGACCAGCCACACUGGAACUGAGACACGGUCCAGACUCCUACGGGAGGCAGCAGUGGGGAAUAUUGCACAAUGGGCGCAAGCCUGAUGCAGCCAUGCCGCGUGUAUGAAGAAGGCCUUCGGGUUGUAAAGUACUUUCAGCGGGGAGGAAGGGAGUAAAGUUAAUACGUUUGCUCAUUGACGUUACCCGCAGAAGAAGCACCGGCUAACUCCGUG
RNAcentral lists this ribosomal RNA (490 nucleotides) under uncultured bacterium. Its description in RNAcentral is "partial 16S ribosomal RNA". It matches the Rfam family "Bacterial small subunit ribosomal RNA", at positions 30 to 507 of the family's 1533-position model. The record is from RNAcentral.